RNAcentral lists this ribosomal RNA (327 nucleotides) under uncultured eukaryote. RNAcentral describes it as "partial 18S ribosomal RNA". It matches the Rfam family "Eukaryotic small subunit ribosomal RNA", at positions 1470 to 1796 of the family's 1831-position model. The record is from RNAcentral.
CCCUUAGAUGUUCUGGGCCGCACACGCGCUACACUGAAGGAGGCAGCGUGUACUCCUGGAUCGAAAGAUUUGGGUAACCCGCGAAUCUCCUUCGUGCUAGGGAUUGAGGUUUGCAAUUAUACUUCAUGAACGAGGAAUUCCCAGUAAGUGCAAGUCAUAAGCUUGCGCUGACUACGUCCCUGCCCUUUGUACACACCGCCCGUCGCUACUACCGAUUGAAUGAUUUAGUGAGGACUUCGGACUGGGACCGAUGCGGCUUUCGGGCUGCGUCGGUAUUCUGGAAAGAUGUCCAAACUGUAUCAUUUAGAGGAAGUAAAAGUCGUANCA